AAUCUUGCGCAAUGGGCGAAAGCUUGACGCAGCUAUGCCGCGUGAAUGAUGAAGGUCUUAGGAUUGUACAAUUCUUUCACCGUGGACGAUACUGACGGUACCCGGAGAAGAAGCCCCGGCUACCUUCGUUCCAGCAGCCGCGGUAAUACGAAGGGGGCUAGCGUUGCUCGGAAUUACUGGGCGUAAAGGGCGCGUAGGCGGACAUUUAAGUCAGGGGUGAAAUCCCAGAGCCCAACUCUGGAACUGCCUUUGAUACUGGGUGUCUUGAGUGUGAGAGAGGUAUGUGGAACUCCGAGUGUAGAGGUGAAAUUCGUAGAUAUUCGGAAGAACACCAGUGGCGAAGGCGACAUGCUGGCUCAUUACUGACGCUGAGGCGCGAAAGCGUGGGGAGCAAACAG
Molecule: ribosomal RNA, 398 nt
Filed under: uncultured bacterium
Lineage: Bacteria
Description: partial 16S ribosomal RNA
Rfam family: Bacterial small subunit ribosomal RNA
Source: RNAcentral